Long non-coding RNA from Glycine soja, 604 nucleotides. RefSeq lists it as uncharacterized. The record is from RefSeq and is a predicted model, not a curated record. The transcript is spliced from 2 exons. NCBI's taxonomy places the organism in Eukaryota, Viridiplantae, Streptophyta, Magnoliopsida, Fabales, Fabaceae.
CAACAACACACAAGUUGAUUAGUGUGUUGUGAAUUUUGGAAAAAAUAUCGCAAAUCAACAUUUAUAGCAGUUUUCUAUGUGCUUUGUCAAACAAUAGAUGGAUGAGAGAUAACAUAUCUAAAUCACCUUGGACGAACUCGGGGAAUGGACAUAGCAUGGAGUGCAAUAGGACAAUACUAACUUUAAGGAGUGCUUACAAUGGCAGGGUUUAGUUUUUGGAUUAGGGCCAUAUGUAGUAAUGAUAUGCACCAAGUCUCGAAGGUAGAAUGUAGUCUCCAUUCCAUGUUAGAUGAUAGGGAAAUCCACUAGUUAGGUCUCAAACUCUUUCCUCUUUCUAAGCCUUAGUGGUUCUGAGCAAGGUAGUAGUAAAGGUAGUAGUGAUAUUGAAAAGAGACCCAUCAUGCUCCCUUAGAUCAUGAUGUGAAUGAUCCCAAGUGUAGUUGUGAUAGUUGCCCUCUGCUAAGUGUAGAAGGGAACUAUUAGUUAGGUUGGAGGGUCAAGUGUCUAAGUAUGUUUCAUAUAGUUGUUUGUUUCAUGUUGUAGUGAUACAUGAAAAUCACAAGUGUACAAUGUAGUCAAGUAAUAAAUCAUUGUUUCACAUGAA